UGGCGAACGGGUGAGUAACACGUGGGUAAUCUGCCCUGCACUCUGGGAUAAGCCUGGGAAACUGGGUCUAAUACUGGAUAUGACCUUUCUCCUUAUAGGGUUUGGUGGAAAGUUUUUCAGUGUAGGAUGAGCCCGCGGCCUAUCAGCUUGUUGGUGGGGUGAUGGCCUACCAAGGCGACGACGGGUAGCCGGCCUGAGAGGGUGAUCGGCCACAUUGGGACUGAGAUACGGCCCAG
This 236-nucleotide ribosomal RNA is filed under the name uncultured Actinomycetales bacterium. RNAcentral's name for it is "partial 16S ribosomal RNA". It matches the Rfam family "Bacterial small subunit ribosomal RNA", at positions 96 to 334 of the family's 1533-position model. The record is from RNAcentral. Lineage: Bacteria; Bacillati; Actinomycetota; Actinomycetes; Actinomycetales.